RNAcentral lists this ribosomal RNA (710 nucleotides) under uncultured bacterium. Its description in RNAcentral is "bacterial SSU rRNA". It matches the Rfam family "Bacterial small subunit ribosomal RNA", at positions 67 to 767 of the family's 1533-position model. The record is from RNAcentral.
CGGUAGCACAGGGGAGCUUGCUCCCUGGGUGACGAGCGGCGGACGGGUGAGUAAUGUCUGGGAAACUGCCUGAUGGAGGGGGAUAACUACUGGAAACGGUAGCUAAUACCGCAUAACGUCGCAAGACCAAAGAGGGGGACCUUCGGGCCUCUUGCCAUCAGAUGUGCCCAGAUGGGAUUAGCUAGUAGGUGGGUAAUGGCUCACCUAGGCGACGAUCCCUAGCUGGUCUGAGAGGAUGACCAGCCACACUGGAACUGAGACACGGUCCAGACUCCUACGGGAGGCAGCAGUGGGGAAUAUUGCACAAUGGGCGCAAGCCUGAUGCAGCCAUGCCGCGUGUGUGAAGAAGGCCUUCGGGUUGUAAAGCACUUUCAGCGAGGAGGAAGGUGGUGAGCUUAAUACGCUCAUCAAUUGACGUUACUCGCAGAAGAAGCACCGGCUAACUCCGUGCCAGCAGCCGCGGUAAUACGGAGGGUGCAAGCGUUAAUCGGAAUUACUGGGCGUAAAGCGCACGCAGGCGGUUUGUUAAGUCAGAUGUGAAAUCCCCGGGCUCAACCUGGGAACUGCAUUUGAAACUGGCAAGCUAGAGUCUCGUAGAGGGGGGUAGAAUUCCAGGUGUAGCGGUGAAAUGCGUAGAGAUCUGGAGGAAUACCGGUGGCGAAGGCGGCCCCCUGGACGAAGACUGACGCUCAGGUGCGAAAGCGUGGGGA